This 155-nucleotide ribosomal RNA is filed under the name Oryza brachyantha (malo sina). RNAcentral describes it as "rRNA 5_8S_rRNA". It matches the Rfam family "5.8S ribosomal RNA". Rfam says of the family: 5.8S ribosomal RNA (5.8S rRNA) is a component of the large subunit of the eukaryotic ribosome. The record is from RNAcentral. Lineage: Eukaryota; Viridiplantae; Streptophyta; Magnoliopsida; Poales; Poaceae.
AAAUCAGCUCAGUGGAUCCCUUGGCAUGUGGGUCGAUGAAGAUCCGGUCUAAAUCGGAGAUGGAGUGUGAAGUGAUUUCGCACGAACAUCGACUUAUUGAACGCAAAUGGCGGCCUGAGCUUUGACGAGCUCGGGCCACGCCUGGCAGAGGGUCU